RNAcentral lists this small nucleolar RNA (83 nucleotides) under Cervus elaphus hippelaphus. RNAcentral describes it as "Small nucleolar RNA SNORD115". It matches the Rfam family "Small nucleolar RNA SNORD115". Rfam says of the family: HBII-52 is a member of the C/D class of snoRNAs, which contain the C (UGAUGA) and D (CUGA) box motifs. HBII-52 is encoded in a tandemly repeated array with another C/D snoRNA, HBII-85, in the Prader-Willi syndrome (PWS) region of chromosome 15. HBII-52 is exclusively expressed in the brain but is absent in PWS patients. Lineage: Eukaryota; Metazoa; Chordata; Mammalia; Artiodactyla; Cervidae. The record is from Rfam by way of RNAcentral. RNAcentral also lists the same sequence under 1 other name.
GGGUUGAUGAGAAGAAUUCAUAUGGUUCUGAAAAGAGAAAUGAUUACCUAAAACUCAUGUUCAACAGAAGUAUGCUGAGGCCC